CCGAGUUUACAACUCCCAAACCCCUGUGAACAUACCUAUCGUUGCUUCGGCGGGAUGCCCCAGUUUGACGCAAGCUGGACCCAGGCGCCCGCCGGAGGACCCAAACUCUUGUUUUAUUUAUGUAUCUUCUGAAUGUAAACGUUUAAGAACAUAAAUA
This 157-nucleotide unclassified non-coding RNA is filed under the name soil metagenome. RNAcentral describes it as "partial internal transcribed spacer 1". The record is from RNAcentral.